Molecule: ribosomal RNA, 1978 nt
Filed under: Proteocephalus perplexus
Lineage: Eukaryota; Metazoa; Platyhelminthes; Cestoda; Proteocephalidea; Proteocephalidae
Description: SSU rRNA
Rfam family: Eukaryotic small subunit ribosomal RNA
Source: RNAcentral
GCGAAUGGCUCAUUAAAUCAGCUAUGGUUUAUUGGAUCAUACCCGUUAAAUGGAUAACUGUAAUAACUCUAGAGCUAAUACAUGCCACGAUGCCCUGACCCUUUUGGGAAUGGGUGCACUUAUUAGAUCAGAAGCCAACCGUGUAUGUCCGAAAGGAUGUGCAUGUUGACCUUCUGGUGACUCUGGAUAAUUGUUACAGAUCGCAGUCGGCCUUGAGUCGGCGACGGGUCCUUCAAAUGUCUGCCCUAUCAACUUUCGAUGGUAGGUGACCUGCCUACCAUGGUGAUAACGGGUAACGGGGAAUCAGGGUUCGAUUCCGGAGAGGGAGCCUGAGAAACGGCUACCACUUCCAAGGGAGGCAGCAGGCGCGCAAAUUACCCACUCCCGGUACGGGGAGGUGGUGACGAAAAAUACCGAUGCGGGACUCUCAACGAGGCUCCGUAAUCGGAAUGAGUGAACUAUAAAUCCUUUCACGAGGAUCAAUUGGAGGGCAAGUCUGGUGCCAGCAGCCGCGGUAACUCCAGCUCCAAUAGCGUAUAUUAAAGUUGCUGCAGUUAAAAAGCUCGUAGUUGGAUCUCGGUACCACUGUUGCUCGUCAGUCCUUUGGUAGAUGGCUAUGUGCGCAUGGGCUCGACCUGUGUUGCCAUGGCUGUUCUGCCCGAGUUGGCGGUGUGACGGUGUCGCCUUUCAGCCAUGUCUGUGGUGAAAUACCCUCAGGUGUAGGCGAGUGUCGGGUGGUGCCCGGCGUAAGUUGGGUCUGCCGGCUCGUCUGCAUGCCUUUGGAUGCCCUUUAAAAGGUGUCUGUGGGCGGAUGGCACGUUUACUUUGAACAAAUUUGAGUGCUCAAACCAGGCCGAUGUUGCCUGAAAAGUUUUGCAUGGAAUAAUGGAAUAGGACUUCGGUUCUAUUUCGUUGGUUUUCGGAUCCGAAGUAAUGAUCAAAAGAGACAGGCGGGGACGUUUGUAUGGCUGCGCUAGAGGUGAAAUUCAUGGACCGUAGCCAGACAAACUAAAGCGAAAGCAUUCGUCAAGCAUGUUUUCAUUGGCCAUGAGCGAAAGUCAGAGGCUCGAAGACGAUCAGAUACCGUCCUAGUUCUGACCAUAAACGAUGCCAACUGACGAUCCGUGGUGGUAGUUCAUCAACCUUCCCCACGGGCAGUCCCCGGGAAACCUUUAAGUCUUUGGGUUCCGGGGGAAGUAUGGUUGCAAAGCUGAAACUUAAAGGAAUUGACGGAAGGGCACCACCAGGAGUGGAGCCUGCGGCUUAAUUUGACUCAACACGGGAAAACUCACCCGGCCCGGACACUAUGAGGAUUGACAGAUUGAAAGCUCUUUCUUGAUUUGGUGGUUGGUGGUGCAUGGCCGUUCUUAGUUGGUGGAGCGAUUUGUCUGGUUAAUUCCGAUAACGAACGAGACUCCUGCCUGCUAAUUAGUGCACUUGUCAACUGUACUUGUGUAGGCGGUGUUUGGCGAAGCUGCACUCGUAAGCUGCUAGGAUCCGCGGGUUUUCCCGCGUCUGAGUAGUGAGUGCGGCCGGUCCGGCACUAGCUUCCGGGUGCGGAGCGGGUGUCUACUUCUUAGAGGGACAAGCGGGAGAAGCCGCACGAAAUGGAGCAAUAACAGGUCUGUGAUGCCCUUAGAUGUCCGGGGCCGCACGCGCGCUACAAUGACGGUGGCAAUGAGUCUGACCUUCUGGCCCGAAAGGGUUGGGCAAACUGGUCAAUCACCGUCAUGACAGGGAUCGGGGCUUGGAAUUGUUCCCCGUGAACGAGGAAUUCCUAGUAAGUGCAAGUCAUAAGCUUGCGCUGAUUACGUCCCUGCCCUUUGUACACACCGCCCGUCGCUACUACCGAUUGAAUGGUUUAGCAAGGUCCUUGGAUUGGCGCCAUUGUGGUGGUUUGCCGAAAGGUACUCUGCCCGACAGGUGCUGAGAAGACGACCAAACUUGAUCAUUUAGAGGAAGUAAAAGUCGUAACAAG